This 407-nucleotide ribosomal RNA is filed under the name bacterium. Its description in RNAcentral is "partial 16S ribosomal RNA". It matches the Rfam family "Bacterial small subunit ribosomal RNA", at positions 355 to 776 of the family's 1533-position model. The record is from RNAcentral.
UGGGGAAUAUUGGACAAUGGACCGAGAGUCUGAUCCAGCAAUUCUGUGUGCACGAUGAAGUUUUUCGGAAUGUAAAGUGCUUUCAGUUGGGAAGAAAGAAAUGACGGUACCAACAGAAGAAGUGACGGCUAAAUACGUGCCAGCAGCCGCGGUAAUACGUAUGUCACGAGCGUUAUCCGGAUUUAUUGGGCGUAAAGCGCGUCUAGGUGGUUAUGUAAGUCUGAUGUGAAAAUGCAGGGCUCAACUCUGUAUUGCGUUGGAAACUGUAUAACUAGAGUACUGGAGAGGUAAGCGGAACUACAAGUGUAGAGGUGAAAUUUGUAGAUAUUUGUAGGAAUGCCGAUGGGGAAGCCAGCUUACUGGACAGAUACUGACGCUAAAGCGCGAAAGCGUGGGUAGCAAACAGG